CAUUAAGAAGCUAUGGACCAGCGUUAGCCUUUUAAGCUAAAGAAAGAGGCAAAAAAGCCUCCUUAAUGG
RNAcentral lists this transfer RNA (69 nucleotides) under Melanocharis nigra (Black berrypecker). RNAcentral describes it as "tRNA-Lys". The record is from RNAcentral. Lineage: Eukaryota; Metazoa; Chordata; Aves; Passeriformes; Melanocharitidae.